UACGUAGGGCGCAAGCGUUGUCCGGAAUUAUUGGGCGUAAAGAGCUCGUAGGCGGCUUGUCACGUCGGGUGUGAAAGCCCGGGGCUUAACCCCGGGUCUGCAUUCGAUACGGCUAGCUAGAGUGUGGUAGGGGAGAUCGGAAUUCCUGGUGUAGCGGUGAAAUGCGCAGAUAUCAGGAGGAACACCGGUGGCGAAGGCGGAUCUCUGGGCCAUUACUGACGCUGAGGAGCGAAAGCGUGGGGAGCGAACAGG
Molecule: ribosomal RNA, 252 nt
Filed under: uncultured bacterium
Lineage: Bacteria
Description: partial 16S ribosomal RNA
Rfam family: Bacterial small subunit ribosomal RNA
Source: RNAcentral